AGGACGAACGCUGGCGGCGUGCUUAACACAUGCAAGUCGAGCGGUAAGGCCCUUCGGGGUACACGAGCGGCGAACGGGUGAGUAACACGUGGGUGAUCUGCCCUGUACUUCGGGAUAAGCCUGGGAAACUGGGUCUAAUACCGGAUAUGACCUUACAUCGCAUGGUGUUUGGUGGAAAGAUUUAUCGGUACAGGAUGGGCCCGCGGCCUAUCAGCUUGUUGGUGGGGUAAUGGCCUACCAAGGCGACGACGGGUAGCCGGCCUGAGAGGGCGACCGGCCACACUGGGACAGAGACACGGCCCAGACUCCUACGGGAGGCAGCAGUGGGGAAUAUUGCACAAUGGGCGAAAGCCUGAUGCAGCGACGCCGCGUGAGGGAUGACGGCCUUCGGGUUGUAAACCUCUUUCGACAGGGACGAAGCGCAAGUGACGGUACCUGUAGAAGAAGCACCGGCCAACUACGUGCCAGCAGCCGCGGUAAUACGUAGGGUGCGAGCGUUGUCCGGAAUUACUGGGCGUAAAGAUCCUGUAAAAGGGGUUGUCGCGUCGUCCGUGAAAACUUGGGGCUCAACCCCAAGCUUGCGGGCGAUACGGGCAGACUUGAGUUCUUCAGGGGAGACUGGAAUUCCUGGUGUAGCGGUGAAAUGCGCAGAUAUCAGGAGGAACACCGGUGGGCGAAAGGCGGG
This 685-nucleotide ribosomal RNA is filed under the name Nocardia farcinica. Its description in RNAcentral is "bacterial SSU rRNA". It matches the Rfam family "Bacterial small subunit ribosomal RNA", at positions 26 to 725 of the family's 1533-position model. The record is from RNAcentral. Lineage: Bacteria; Bacillati; Actinomycetota; Actinomycetes; Mycobacteriales; Nocardiaceae.